Molecule: long non-coding RNA, 4826 nt
Filed under: Homo sapiens (human)
Lineage: Eukaryota; Metazoa; Chordata; Mammalia; Primates; Hominidae
Description: HSALNT0376620
Source: RNAcentral
AAGUAUAAAAUGUUGAAUGAGAAACCCGAAGACCUUGCAUCGCUGGGCUGAAUAACUUGUUUUCUUUUUUAUGGUGUCCAGACUGAGUUCAUUUUUCUGAGGACCAAUGGUGAUAAGUGUUGGUCUGCCUAUCUUCCCAGAAUAAUCCAAGAUUUGGGGAAAGAAAGAGUAUUUUGCUAAUUUCAGCAAAGAAACAUAUAUUGGGGAAAGGAUACUGUAUUCAGUAAAUUGUGCUGGAAAAAGUGGUAAGCCACAUGUAGAAGAAUGAAACUGGAUCCCCAGCUCUCACCUAAUACAAAAAUCGACUCAAGAUGCAUCAAAGACUUAAAUAUAAAACCUGAAACCUUGAAAAUUCUAGAAGAUAACACCAGAAAAACUCUUCUAAAUGUUGGCUUACGCAAAGAAUUCAUGACUAAGACACCAAAAGAAAAUGCAACAAAAACAAAAAUAAAUAAAUGGGACUCAAUUAAACUGAAAAGAUUUUGCACACCAAAUAAAUAAUCAGAAGAAUAAACAGAAAACCCACAGAAUGGAAGAAAAUAUUCACCAACUAUGCAUCUGACAAAGGACUAGUAUCCAGAAUUUACAAGGAACUCAAACAAAUAAAUGAAUUCAAAUAUCCCAUUAAAAAGUGUGCAAAGGACAUGAAUAGACAAUUGUCAAAAGAAGAUAUACAAACAGCCAAUAAACAUAAAAAAAAAUACAGCAUCGCUAGUCACCAGGGAAAUGCAAAUUAAAACCACAGUGAGAUUCCACCUUACUCCCGCAAGAAUGUCCACAAUUAAAAAGUCAGAAAACAAUAGAUGUUGGCAUGGAUUUGGUGAAAAUCACAUCAGUGAAUACAGAUUUGGGAAGAAAUGUGCAUAACUGGUUUCAGCUAGCCAACACGCUGGUCCCAGUAUACCACUGGCUACGGCAUUCUAAAAGUGUCCUCAUAUGUAUCUAUUAAAUAUUCAAGAACUUUGACCAAUAUAUUCUCUGCCAAAUGCUCUCAAGAAAUCUUGGUGGAGAUGGUGUCGGGGUAAGGUGGGGGUUUUUCCGAAAUGGAAUCAUGUUAAUGUGGACUUAAUGUUAAAAUAUGAAUUUUCAAAAAAAUUUGCUUUACUUUCAGUAGGCUAAAUACCUACAUAGUAAAAUUUAAAAAAAUCUGUAAUUCUCUCUUAAUUUAUUCAUUAUACUAUUAUAUGUGGUAGGCAUUUUUUUCCUGGCUCUCAUAUCAUUUGUGUUUGUUUUAUACUAAUGAAAUACAGAAAAACUCUGUAGUAUAUAGAGCCCAAUGGAACUUUUAAGAGUGAGAAUUUUAAUUUGUAUAUUAUGGAAAAGUCAUCUCAGAAAUAUUAGUUUAUAAAUAUGCAGAUACAAUUUCUAGAAUGUCAAAAAAUAAUCCUUUCACCUGAGUUGUCUUAAGUAAAUAACUUUUAGGAUUUUUAAUUGGAUUAUUUAUGUAAUCAUUAUAAAGGAGAUCUGAGGUAAAUUGCUUAAGCAUUUUCUUUAGCUUUUUGCAAGACUAAAAAUGGAGAAUAAAUAUUUGCUCAAAUAUCGAGUCAAACUAAUUUUGAAGAGAAAUCUCUAAAUACUUUAUUAAAUGACCAAAAUAUAAGAAAAUGUUUAAAAAGACUGCAAAUAGAAACACAUCAGUUUAAAGCACACAAAGAGAUAAGUGGAAAAAGUAUUUUCUCAGAACAUGCUAAAAAAAACUUAGAAUAUCCAGGAUACUGCAUUUAUUCAUCCUUACAACAUGAAUUUUAAAUAUCUUAGCGACUGUGCUAUCAUUUUCAGUGUUCUGUAUGAAUUCUUACCUUCUCAGAAGAUUAUGUAGAUAUAACAGAUACUUCUGGAAUAUAUAUCCAUGAUAAGAUUUGUCUUUUUACAGGAGAAAAGAAAAUAUAUCAAGUCCAACAGAACUUAAGAAAAUACAAUUUAAUUAACUUUAUAUGAUAUAGGCCUUGUUAAUAUUAUAUAUCAAAAAAGAAUUCUAGUUUAUAUUCUUUUGUCUGUAAGAUGGGGGAGCUGUUGCAUUAUAAAAAAUACUGGUCAGUUCCAUUCCUCUAAGCAUUUUCUUUUGAUUAAAAUCAUUUGUAGUAAAAAUGAUGACCCAAACCUUUGUAAAUGAUAUUUUAGCUGGGUUAUAAUCUAAUGAAAUUGUGAUUUUAAAAGUGCUUCAAUUACUACAACUAUAAAAUCUUGGUUUACUAGGAAUAUGUAUAAGGUGAAGUAUCCAUUAUUUCUUUAACAUCAGUAUAUAUUGUUUAACAUUCUGCUUUUGGGCUAAGACUUCCUAGGCUUUACAGAAGAGAAGUUGUUUAUCUGAACAGUGUAAAAAUAUGUGUGUGUGUGUGUGUGUGUGUGUGUGUGUAUGUGUAUAAAAAUAUAUGUUCUGUUGUUAUUUAGUUAUGUCUUCCCUGAAAACACUGAUAGAUCCAACAAGUCUCUUGAUUCCUCUUAAAGAUAAGCAAGAAGAAGAAUAAAGUAUGUCACACUUAAACUUGAGUAAAUCCAAGUUGGAAAAACAGAAGCAGAUUUUUUUUUAAUCCUACAGGAUGAAUGUUGAGAGAGACAAAAAUAUUAACACCACAUAAAUUAUAACCUAGAGAAAUUCUAAACCAGGUUGAAAACCUACGCAUAAGCAGUCAAUAAUUAUCUUACACUUAUGCAAUACAAUUUUUUAUUACAGAAAGAACUUUAGUAAUUACCUCAUGCUGUAUAUAUGGGAAAGGAGAUAAGGAAGAAAAACUCUUUAUAGUAUGCAAUUAGUUAUCUCCUGCCUUAUCUUGGUAUUUGUAGAAACACUUGGAAGUAGGAAAAGUGAACAUUUGUAUCCCUGUUCUAUAGUUUAAAAAAUUGACACACAUAAGUUAUUUUUAAUUUAUCCAGUUAAUCACCAGUAAUCAUGAUGCUUUAUGAAUGACAAUUCUUUUAUAUUUAUUCAAAAAUAUGGGGAAAAUAAAUGACAUCUGCCUAUAUAACUUAAAAUUCUUGAAGAAAAUGUGUAUAGGAAUAACUUGGUAUGAAAUGUUAUAGAAAUGUUAGUUCUUUGUCUCUUAUAGUUACAGUAAGUGGCUAAUCAUCAUGUCUACGUUUAUGUAUAAUUUAUUUACAUUUUAAAAUGUUCUAACCUUGAAUACAUAGGGAACAAAUAUCUGAUGAUAGGUGUUUGCAAGGCAGCAUCAGUGAUUUUUCUUGAUAUUUUAUCUGAAAUAUCUGAGUAUCUACUAGGAAUCUAACAUGGAAAGGUAAUUACAUAUGAUGUUGGAAGCAAAUUUGUAUACACCCUAUUUAUGGCCAAGCAAAACAGUGUAAUGUGUCUGAGCAUGUAUGUGUUCCUUUCACCAGUUUUCUUGUGGUAGAAUUUAUAAAACUGCAUAUAUUCACAAUGUACAAUGUGAUGGUUUGACGUAUAUAUACAUUGUGAAAUAAUUACCACAAUCAAGUCAAUGAACACAUUCAUCACCUCAGCGUUUUCUAAAAUUACAUUUAUCAAACUGUAUUUGAAAGUAAAUGUGUUUUCUCAUUGUUAACCACGACUUUAAAACUUUAUUACAGAUUAAUGUUAAGAAAGCUACUGAAAUUAAUUUUAGUAAUAAAACAUCUGAAUAUACACCAUGAAAUGUAUAAAUGUAUGUGCUGAUUUUAGGAGUACAACUAAAUAAGUAAUGCAAACUUACUUGCAGGAUCAUCACUUUAACUCUGUCUCUCUCUCUCUCUCUCUCUUUAUAUAUAUGUCUCUCUCAUAUAUAUGAUAUAUCUUAUACAUCUAACUAUAUAUAUGUAGAGGAAGAAAGAGACACUAUAGAGUAAUACAACCUUUCCAUUAACUGCAUAUAAAGUCAGCCUUAUAAUAAUGCCCCUGGAUUAUCUGACCCUUUAAUAAAAUGUUAUACAUAUUUAGAGACUUGGAUUGUGCCUGUUUUUACUAACAGUUGUUAUUUAAAAUAUUAUUAGUAAGUUAAUUCAUAUAAACCAUGCAGAGAAGCUGUAUAACUGUGCAUAUAAAUAGUGAAGAGAAACUGAUCUGGCAUUCAGGGAUGUUGAGAUUAUUCCAACUCCGCUGCCAAUUGGCUGUGUGUCUUUGGAGAGGUCACAUAAUAUCUCCGAGCUAUAGUUUCCUUAUCAGUAACAUAGACUAGAUGAUUUUUAAAAUUUCACUCAGCACAUAAUUUGAUCUCUAACUUAAAAGAGCUGGAAUAAAAAUCACCACUAAAAAUUAUUAGCGUUACUAUGGUUGUACUUUGUUUUUAUACAUUACAGGCAUUAAAAACUACCUAGAGUUAAUUAGUAUUCGACAAAAUUAUUUCUUACAAAUCUUACGCUAUUCUGUAACGCAUGGGUCUAAUAUGUAUUUAAUGUAGCUUUCGUACAACUGCAAAAACUUCAAAGCAUAUCUGAACUUGUGGGUUUUGUAAGACUUGAACGCUAUAAAUGAAAGUAAUGGAAAUUUUAUUAUAUUCUAUUAUCGAUUGUGUGAUUAGAGUUGUUGAGUGGUAACUCAGUGUCUCAUGUGUGUGAAAGAGAGAGAAAUGAUGACAGUUGUAAAAGCCUAAGAUACACAAGACAGAAUAGUGGUUAGGAUCAUAAGCUUGGAAAUUAGAACCGAUAUUUUACUUCCAGUGUCUGCCACAUCUCAGUGGUAUGACUUUGGGAAAGUAGUUUAAUUUCUCUGAGUUACUUCAUCUGUAGUAUGCAGAUUACAAUAGCCACCGCACAGUGGGUAUAAAGAUGAGUAAGGUUAUAUUUUUGAACACGUAGAAGAGUAUCUGACAUACAAUAAGUGUGUACCGUUAAAGUAUACUUAAACAAAAUUUAAUAUUAAUAAAAGCUAUAUAUAG